UACGGGGGGGGCAAGCGUUGUUCGGAAUUACUGGGCGUAAAGGGCUCGUAGGUGGCCAACUAAGUCAGACGUGAAAUCCCUCGGCUUAACCGGGGAACUGCGUCUGAUACUGGAUGGCUUGAGUUUGGGAGAGGGACGCGGAAUUCCGGGUGUAGCGGUGAAAUGCGUAGAUAUCCGGAGGAACACCGGUGGCGAAGGCGGCUUCCUGGACCGACACUGACGCUGAGGCGCGAAAGCUAGGGGAGCAAACGGG
Molecule: ribosomal RNA, 253 nt
Filed under: uncultured bacterium
Lineage: Bacteria
Description: partial 16S ribosomal RNA
Rfam family: Bacterial small subunit ribosomal RNA
Source: RNAcentral